AUAUACAAAUAUAAAGUAUUUUUUUUAAGAUUAUUUAGAAUUAAAGGUAUAUUUUUAAGAUAAAAUAUAUAAUAUGAAUGAUAUAAAAGCUUAUGUUUGAUUUAUUAAGGUUUAUAAGAGAAUAUAAAAUAAAUAAUAUAUAAAAAUCAUAAAUUUGACCUGUAAUGAAGAAUGUGCGGUGAUAGGGUGAAGUUAGGAUACUUACAACAAAGUCAUCAUGACAUUUCUUUUAGAAUUGAUAAAGUUAUUUUAUUAAAAAGUUUAUAAUAUAUUUAAAAGCAAAUAUUUUAAAGUAAUAUAUAAUAAUCUAAUGAUUACUUCUAUUAGAAAGAAUUGAUUCAUAUCUAAAAAUUAACAAAAGAAAAAAAAUCUAUUUAUUAUUGAAGUAAGUCAUUUAGUAAAAGGUAUUACCUUAGGUAAGUUGUUAGUGGUCAAAAGGCAACAAAGAAUAUAAGGAAGUUACUAUGGUGGCUUCUAGGGUUUGUAGAUGGCAACUAGGGUUUGUAGGUAGCGGCUAGGUUAAG
RNAcentral lists this long non-coding RNA (524 nucleotides) under Physcomitrium patens. RNAcentral describes it as "long non-coding RNA (PPAT_LNC001195)". The record is from RNAcentral. Lineage: Eukaryota; Viridiplantae; Streptophyta; Bryopsida; Funariales; Funariaceae.